Molecule: long non-coding RNA, 202 nt
Organism: Amblyraja radiata (thorny skate)
Lineage: Eukaryota; Metazoa; Chordata; Chondrichthyes; Rajiformes; Rajidae
Exons: 3
Source: RefSeq, a predicted model, not a curated record
ACUUCUUCAGAGCAUGUAGAGGGAAAUUGGCUGGUACUGCUGUCGAGGAGGAAAGGUAGGGCUUUAAGGUCUUCCUGGUGGGGGACGGAGGUGUAGAAUGACAGAACGUCCACAGUAAAAAUGGGGGAAUGAGGGCCUGGAAAACUGAAGCGAAACUAGGGGAACAGUACCUCUGUAAUCUGCCGACUCCCUUGCUCUUCCU